Homo sapiens (human) is the source of this 1019-nucleotide long non-coding RNA. The record is from Ensembl. Lineage: Eukaryota; Metazoa; Chordata; Mammalia; Primates; Hominidae.
GACCUUCUCUUUCCUUGGCUGCUCAGGUCAUAGGUGCUGCAAUCUAGAGACAAAAUAUUCCUUACACUGCCAGAUACUUGCAAACUAAGGGGAACGAGCUUCCCUCUGAAUGUUUAUGAAGGAGAGACCACUGUGAGGAUAGACAGUGAAGUGCAACUACAGCCCGCAAAUGAAAAUGAAUAAAAUUAAUCCAGCCCCUCAAGGCAGUCAUCUGUCUUAGAGCUAUUGGAAUCCUGGAUCAUUGUGGGAAAUGAAAAGAACUGGUUUUUAGCAAGGAGACCAAGAAACUCUACUCCCUAGGGGCUAGCAAUGAGAGAAAGGAAGCCUUGAGUCUUUGAGCACAGGGUGACAGUUUGGGUCCUAUGUGAGAUGAUCAAAUCCACAGCAACAGAGGAAAGGACAAAAGGAAAAGGUCUGUAGCAGCACUACAUCAGAAAAAAUGGAUUCCGCAAGGAAGUGGGUGACUCUGAAUACUUCGAUGGAAUCAGCAGCCAUUGAUCCAAUGCCAACUCCAAGACUGGAACGUCGCAAUGAUAGUUCCAAGGCGGAAAUUUGACGUAAUUCUUUUCGACACAGUUUUACAGGUGUGACACCAUGAAGUCGUCCCACAUUUCCCACAACCUGAAUUUGGGAUGACAGUCGACUGAGAUUUUGUAAACUGAUUAUCAUCUGUUUCUGUUUUAUUCUCAUUACCUAACAUAUGCCCACUGGGGGGUGCUAAAGAACUAUGAAUUGGAGGUAAUUCUGGGAUAUCUUCCCAGAGCUUUUGAGGAUUUGGCUGUGUUCUUAAGCUGCUUGCUGAACUGUCCAUUUCUCUUUCUCUUCCACUUAAUUUCAUACUUUCAGGUCUGGAUGCCCAUUUUAAUUCUUCUGAAAGCAUGCCUCCUUCUGGCUUCAGGACUCCAUCUCCAGCCUUAUGAUCUAAAAAUAAUCCCCAAACCAAAAAAUUAGAUAUUAUUUCCUCAAAAUUAGGUGUUUUAAUCAAAACAUCUUAACAUAAAUACAUUAUUAUCACCCAA